ACGCUCGACACCUACGGGGCAGCAGUCGGGAAUAUUGCGCAAUGGAGGAAACUCUGACGCAGUGACGCCGCGUAUAGGAAGAAGGUUUUCGGAUUGUAAACUAUUGUCGUUAGGGAAGAGAAAGGACAGUACCUAAGGAGGAAGCUCCGGCUAACUACGUGCCAUCAGCCGCGGUAAUCUGAGCGGGCUGGCAAGGC
Molecule: ribosomal RNA, 197 nt
Filed under: uncultured bacterium
Lineage: Bacteria
Description: partial 16S ribosomal RNA
Rfam family: Bacterial small subunit ribosomal RNA
Source: RNAcentral